GUUCGGAUUGUAGUCUGCAACCCGACUACAUGAAGCCGGAAUCGCUAGUAAUCGCGGAUCAGAAUGCCGCGGUGAAUACGUUCCCGGGUCUUGUACACACCGCCCGUCACACCAUGGGAGUUGGAAAUGCCCGAAGUCAGUGGCCCAACCGGAAGGGGGGAGCUGCCGAAGGCAGGUUCGAUGACUGGGGUGAAGUCGUAACAAGGUAUC
Molecule: ribosomal RNA, 210 nt
Filed under: uncultured bacterium
Lineage: Bacteria
Description: partial 16S ribosomal RNA
Rfam family: Bacterial small subunit ribosomal RNA
Source: RNAcentral